Non-coding RNA from Pelobates cultripes (western spadefoot toad), 391 nucleotides. Lineage: Eukaryota; Metazoa; Chordata; Amphibia; Anura; Pelobatidae. The record is from the annotation of a GenBank genome assembly.
CUUGGGAAUAAUUAGAGACAACUGACUAGGUAACGAUGUGCACAGUCAGUCAAUAGUUGCAAAGGCCAGUAAGUUAUUAUAAAUAAUAAUAAUAGGAAUUAUUGCCCCUUUAUAACGUCAUGGUUAAACCCCACCUUGAUUAUGUGGAGCAAUUUUGGGCACCUGUUUUUAAAGAAUUAUAUCAUAGAAAUAGUAAAAGUGUCAAGGUAUAUAACAAAAUAAAUAAGGGGAAUUGAAUAUUUUAGUUAUUAAUAAAGGUUACAAAAACUGCAUUUGUAGUCUUUGGAGAAAAUGUGUCUCAUAAGGAAUAUACAAAUAAAUUCAAAGUUAAUACAAACAGCUCUCUGAAAAUCUGUUCAAAAACAGGACAGUACAUAUGACAGUACUGUUC